Molecule: long non-coding RNA, 729 nt
Filed under: Malus domestica (apple)
Lineage: Eukaryota; Viridiplantae; Streptophyta; Magnoliopsida; Rosales; Rosaceae
Description: long non-coding RNA (MDOM_LNC002827)
Source: RNAcentral
UUAGCAGCACCUGCCCAUUUUCACAAUAAAACAAUGCUAACUGAACUUAAGAAAUUAUAAUGUACAUAAUCUAACCUUGAAAAGAAAUAUUUGUAUCAAUUAUUUGGUACAAAGAUAUGUAUUAUGUAUACCGCCAUAGUUGCCAACAAAUUAAUCAAUAAUUCAAUAAUAUAGUAUAUAACUCUACCGCAGCAGUCUGCAUAUGUAAUUCUUCACUUGUUUUUCCCAGAUUUCUUCUUGUCCCUUCCUAGAACACAAGUAUUUGGCGGAUAUAAGCCUCCAUCACUUUGAGAAUAUGACUGGGACGACAAAGAUGUCUUCUUGUCCCUUCCUAGAGCACUCUGAGCGUUUCGCGGAUACAAGCCUCCACCACUAUGAGAAUAUGACUUGGACGACGAAGAUCUCUUCUUGUCCCUUCCUAGAACACUCUGAGCAUUUGGCGGAUUCGAAUCUCCACCAGAAGACGUAUUUGCUAAUGAUCACCUUAAUUAAACUUGUACAGAGAAGGUAUAAAGAGGAGAUCGAGUUUUGGCUUUUGCAUUGAAUGUUUGGAAUUUAUAGCCGAUUGGAGGGUUCGUAUCUUGCGGUUUGGUUUCCCCAGAAGUACCAAGAAAUUAAAGUAACCUAACCGCAUAAGUAAACACAAUUAUUUGCUUAAUUGUAAUUCCUUUUUCUAUAUUUCCAGCUGCAUGCCGGGUGGUCGGAUGAGGUGAGGUGAACUGGUUCUUA